This is a long non-coding RNA of Sinocyclocheilus grahami, 235 nucleotides long. RefSeq lists it as uncharacterized. Lineage: Eukaryota; Metazoa; Chordata; Actinopteri; Cypriniformes; Cyprinidae. The transcript is spliced from 3 exons. The record is from RefSeq and is a predicted model, not a curated record.
AGAUAAUUGAGAAGAACGCUGGUCACAGUCGCAGUAGAGUUUUCAGAGAGGUGGAGACGCUUUACCAGUGUCAAGGAAAUAAGAACAUUCUGGAGCUCAUUCAGUUUUUUGAAGAUGACUGCUGUUUUCAUCUGGUGUUUGAGAAGUUGCUUGGAGGUUCCAUUUUAACACACAUCCAGAGUCGAAAGUACUUUGAUGAGAGAGAGGCAAGUCAUGUAGUCAGGGAUAUAGCACA